Pantherophis guttatus is the source of this 691-nucleotide non-coding RNA. NCBI's taxonomy places the organism in Eukaryota, Metazoa, Chordata, Lepidosauria, Squamata, Colubridae. The record is from RefSeq and is a predicted model, not a curated record.
AGGAAUUAAUCAAGUAAAAUAUCACUGACCAUUUGAAAGAAAGCUUCUGAGAGCCAGUUUGGGCUAGUGGCUGAGGCACCAGGCUAGAAACCAAGAGACGAUCUGCAAAAGUGGUAAAUGCGAAGAUUGGUUGCAAAAUUCUUUUUUCAUCACAGUCAUAACUAUGAAUGGUUGCUCUAUGAGGCAGUUGCUGACUGAGGAUUACCUGUGCCUCCUCGUAAAUAGGAAUGGUUUUUUUGGGGGGAGGGGGGAGAAAUCAGGGCCAGGCAAAUGCACACAGCAUCAAUUAAAAGUGGAGAAACUGGUGGGGCACUUUGUGCUCUUACAUUAGGUGUUCUUUGUGCUCUUACAUUAGAAACUGGGAAUAAGAAGUGACUGGUAGUUGAACACUAAUAGGCAGUUGGGAAAAGUAUAUAAUAAUCCUAAUUAGGUAUUUCUUUUAUACAAUAUUCAAAGCCAAAAAGAAAAUCUCUAGCUAUGGUAAGAUACUAUGAUAAAGCUAUGCUACUUCUGCUAUGCUAAAACACCCAUGCAUCAGCUCGUACUGUUUGUCUGAUUAAUUUCUUACAUAUUGUGGAGUACUCAGUUAAAGAAUAUCAGGGGGAAACAGAUCUUUUCCCCCUAUAGAUUGUUUUAAUUUUAAUUGAAACACAUGUAAAAAGAGUAGAAAUAAAUAUAUAUAUAUUUCUGA